RNAcentral lists this transfer RNA (115 nucleotides) under Caudoviricetes sp. RNAcentral describes it as "tRNA-Arg". Lineage: Duplodnaviria; Heunggongvirae; Uroviricota; Caudoviricetes. The record is from RNAcentral.
GCACCUGUGUUGCACCUGCGAAGCAAGAAACCAUUGAUACUCCUAAGAAAAAUGAGUGUUUUAAGACAGACUCCGACUCUGUAGGCCAGCGGUUCAAAUCCGCUCGGGCGUACCA